Molecule: long non-coding RNA, 258 nt
Organism: Tachysurus fulvidraco (yellow catfish)
Lineage: Eukaryota; Metazoa; Chordata; Actinopteri; Siluriformes; Bagridae
Exons: 3
Source: RefSeq, a predicted model, not a curated record
CAAGGCUAGAUGAACUCAAAGCAAAGCUACACUGCACAGAUGAAUUUGUGUCACAGUGGCUCUCUGAUGUGAAGGAAUGGGCAGCUGAUGAGACACCAGAUACAUCUCAUGCCAGUCAAGGCACCACACACAGAGGACUUCAGCAGUCAAUUGAGGGUCUUUACCUUAGUGUGAGGCAGCGGAAGCAAACCCUCUACCGUCAGAAUGACAGCAGCAAGUUUCGCCACCGCCUUUGAGGGAAGCUGGCAGAAGACAAAA